UAAAACACCGAUUCUCGCAGGAUCACAGAAUUUAAGCAACGCCGGGCCUGAUCAGUAUUUAGAUGCGUGACGGCUUGGGAUUAUCAGGUGCUGUAA
Molecule: non-coding RNA, 96 nt
Organism: Acanthosepion pharaonis
Lineage: Eukaryota; Metazoa; Mollusca; Cephalopoda; Sepiida; Sepiidae
Source: the annotation of a GenBank genome assembly